This is a long non-coding RNA of Nanorana parkeri, 194 nucleotides long. RefSeq lists it as uncharacterized. The transcript has 3 exons. Lineage: Eukaryota; Metazoa; Chordata; Amphibia; Anura; Dicroglossidae. The record is from RefSeq and is a predicted model, not a curated record.
CAGGUAAUGACUAUGAAGAUUCCAUGGAUCCCCACAGGAGACGGCUGUAGGUAGUUCUUGUCCAUUUUGUACACAAAAUCCCCAAUAUAUACACAACAGUAUUUGGAUGUACGUGGCCUAGCUUAGCUUAUAAAAGGUAACGUAACCAUUAGGUAUGUGACAUCAAUAUAUGUAUGUACUGUAAUCCUUGACAA